Long non-coding RNA from Cylas formicarius (sweet potato weevil), 6057 nucleotides. RefSeq lists it as uncharacterized. The record is from RefSeq and is a predicted model, not a curated record. The transcript is spliced from 2 exons. Lineage: Eukaryota; Metazoa; Arthropoda; Insecta; Coleoptera; Brentidae.
UCCGUAAUACCUGUCGAACGUUGGUCGGUCGGUGGUACCUCGCAGUUCGAGUCGAUACGCGGCGACGUAAGCACGCGGUACCAUCGUACCCAUCGUACCGCAUUCGCCUGCGAAUGGCACUAGAAGAAUUCACGGGUCCGUUGUUUGCAAUCCCGUGGACUUGUGGUGCCAUCCCCAGAGCAAAUGGACCCAGCGAGACGUUCCACGCGAUUCGGGUUCCGCGAGUACGCAUGACGUCACCCUUGUCGGUACCGGUGCGCGAGUGCGAGUGUCCAGAAAGGUCGACGACGACGACGACGGCGACGGUUUUGCGCCUCCCAAAGGUUAAACGUCCAGUUCUGUUCUUUAUCUAUGCUGCCGGUUCGACAGUUGCGGCCCGUCAGCUGGACCUCAACUCCGUAGGCAAGAUGCGCGUAACGGAACCCGAGAUGACGCGAACGCGGCCGUAACUCUGCGAGACGACAAAGAGCCGUUUCGCAGGAAGCUCUCGCUACGACGCAGGAAGAUGACCGGAGCGUAGCGGAAGAAACUACGCCCUCCCCUGCCUAGUAUUAAUUUUGUUUUUCGUUUUUUAGGCACGGUCUCUUUAAUUUUUCGGGCGACAUAACGGGUGGCGACAACUCUGUAAGUACACACCUACAUUGUCUAUUAAUAUUGAAAAAAAAAAUUUGUUUUAGACUGGUUAUCGGUCAUUAUUUUAUACGAUUUUUUUCUGCAAAACGAUCAUUUACAACUGUAUAUUACUUCGAAACGGAUCUAGCCUGUCCUAUAUAAAAUUUCAACGACUUUUCGAUGAAAUCGGCAACGUCGCUUCAUUGAAAACCUCCAUGCGGUUAAUUUUUGCCGAGUGUACCUUCUCCCUGUCUCUCCCAUGUAUAGUCUGUCUCAAUCUUUGUCUAGCCAUUAACAACAAAUAUAUUUUUUUCUUUCUGAUAUAUUUCUUAACUUAACUUAACCUCACUUUUUGAAAAUUUUACUAAAAUUGCAACGAUAUAUGCCCUGUAGUUUUAAGUGGAAGAAGCAUUCAGUCCGUCAAGGUUGCCAGGUUUGCGCUGGGCCUCAGACGACAAAAAAUAGCGGCUGCUUUGUCCGUCUGAUAAUAUACAUAUAAAAAAGUAGGUAACAUAAAAUCAGCCGACCACGAUUUCGAGAGACUAAAGUUCCGUUUCAAUUCGGGCGAUACGCACAAUCGAUCAACCACCAUACUACGUCUGGAAACCGUUAAUUGACAGCAUGCACGGCCUGCUUUGACGAGAUAACCCUCGCGUAAAUUUUCAAACGUAACGGGAAAACACGUUAUCGGAAUAGUAUCACGUGUUUCUCGACGCGAUUAUGUUUCUGUGGUCUGCGAUCGCGGCCGACUACCUGCCCGUAGCAGAGAAAAACGAACCCGUAGAGAAUCAACGUAGCUCGUCGGGACCUGUGACGUUCGGGCAGCCAGUUUUGGUGAGCGUGAUUGAAUCGAGAGAAAUAGCUUCGUAUAAUGCUAAAAUACACAUAUAGUAGAACUGACGCGGCGAACCACUGAAUAAAAUACAAAUGAUCCGAAAAAUGAGUUUUAUUUAUUUCGUGGCUUGAAUCUCUUCAGUCUCUUUGUUCAGUGCACUGAACAACGGCUACAAUCCGUCCAUUAUAGAUAAAAUUAUAAAUAAAAAACAAAUCCAGACAAUAGUAAACUCUAUUUAUCCGAAACCUAAUACAGAAUACGAACACUUUAAAACAAUUACAAAAAUCAGGUGUCUACAGGUUGAAAUGCGGAUCUUGUCCUAAAAUUUAUAUUGGACAAACAGGUAGAUUCUUCAAGAAACGCAUUAACGAACAUAAAAGAGCGUUUAAAAGCAAUAGUCUACACACAAUACACACUUAAACACAGAGAAACACAUUUUUGACGACAAUUUUGAUAUUUUACAUUCAGCCACAAGAAGUAGAAAAUUAAAUUUAUUGGAAGCCUGUACUUUUUAAAAACUUUAUCUCUCACUUUAAUCAUAACUUUCGCAGAUUUUGUUAACCAUGAUGGUCUUUGCCUAUUAAUUUUGAAAGAAGCUAAAAAGUCAAAGAUAGUUUUCUUCUUCGGGUAUUGCUCGAGUAUUAACAAUUUGUUGCAAGAAUCAAUGCAAGAAAUAAAAUCCUGAAUACUCUUAUUUUCCAAAUCUGUCAAAUUUAAAUUGAAUUUAAAUGAACAGAUUUACCAAAACGUAUCAAAUAUUGGGCUUAAACAUGCAGCACAAGAAUAUUUAAGUAUUGUAAAAAAAAUAUCAGUUGCUUAUUAUAUUUUGCAGAGAAAAAAUGCUACUAUCUCAGAAGCUAUAGCGCAGUGGAAACAUUUACAACAUAUCUUCGAGAAUGUUGUAAAAUUACCUUUAUCAAAAAUACAAAAAAAUCGAGAUCAAUAUAAGCAAGUACUCGCGCCAUAUCAUAUUAUAGCAUAUAUGUUAAACCCACAAAAGGAAAAAUAUGAGUUGACACCCCAAGAAUCCUUAGCAACAAAUUAACAAUUUAAAAAUUAUUUAAAGCCAAAAGUAAAUAUAAAAAUCUACAAGCGUGUGUACUAUUUAAUUCAAUAUGUCAACCCAGAUUUGUAAACACGCCGAAUGUACAUUUGGUCAAAGUAUAAUGCUUCCAGGCCUCGUAUAGAUGGCGCUCCAUCCAUUAGUUAGUGGCAGAGACCACUAAUUGUAUUCCGUGGUUAUUAGUUAUCUGUGCCGGUCGCUCUCUGACGUUUAUUCGUACGUCGAUGUGUAUCGUGCAGCUUCCCGCUCGAAGGAAACAUAUUAAUUAAGAGCACGUAACUAGGUUUAAUUAAUCUCAGGCCUAUUUAGUAAUUGCGUUAGCGGGUUAAUUAAGACUUACCGCGGUAUAUAGUUUCGCGAUCGGUAUCGAAGGAGAGCGAGCUUUAAGAGAUUUAUACCCGGUAGCGGACUCGCGGCCGUCGACGUCAAAGACAUUAAAGCGAGACGCGGCAACGUCGCGUUCUGCCUGACGUAAUCACGCGGUUUACGUAUUAAAGGCGGCCACACGCGCGCGCGCUUGUCGUACGUUUUUCUUGCACAGCGUUAAAUCGUAAUGCAACCCUGAACAUCGUCAAUUCCAGACGUUUUUUCAUUCUGGUCUAUUAAAUCAAAGAUGGCUGUUCUCCGACAAACUCGGAGCUCCUUCGUAUCAGAUGAAAACAUUGGGUACUGACUAGUAUUUGGUUUCAAAUUUGUGCAGUUUCAGUUUCAUUUUUAAUCUUAUUUUAUUUAGUUUAGUUUUUAGAGGAAAAAAAAAAUAUUUGUUAAUAAAACAUUUGUUGUCUUUGCAACUUGCAUUACGAAGCAGCAACUUUAAAGUAUUAUAUAAUUUCCCAAUUAAAUAGGGGAAACAUAACAGUUUGGCAACGCUGUACCGCCGUAUUUCAUUUGGCGAUCACGGGUAAAAUUUCCGCAUCCGCUAUGCUCGAAAUAUGCCAAAUAUUUUUCAACAGUUCCUUUACUUAUGUUGGGUGCUUCGAAGGGACUGCUAGUAACUGUUUUAUGGAACUAAAUAUUAUACAUAAAAAAGUUUUAUUAUAAAACCUGUUCUAAAGUGAACACACAAUAAUAAAAAUGAUUUUUUUUUGUUUACUUUGCGUACUUCGGGUAAAUGCCAAUAGGUUUUGUUCUUAUUUAAAUUGAUUGUGGGAGAACUGACAUAUUGAAAUGUUCGAACUCCAAAAUUAUUAGAGCUAUGCAUUUACAUUAUUAUUAUUAUAUUACAUUUGUUAUUAUUAUUAUAUUGCAUUAUUAUAUUACAUUUACGUAGACCACAAAAAUGGAAUAAUAUAUGUUUCAAUUUAAUUCUUUUAUGUGUUAAAACUGACGCAUACUUUAUUUAUAUAAUGUCUCCAAAUUUGAGUAUCGUCAAUAAGGUAUCGUCUUUUGUUUUAGUUCAGUUUUUCUAAUUAUAGUAAGAUUAUAGUAAUUUUAGAAAAACGCUUUAAAAUCAAUGGUGAGGUGCAAGUGUAAAAUUUUCUUGUUUCUCAGCGAUAUUCAUCUAUGUUUGGGAACAGUAAAUUGUCCCGGCUCCUAACCUCACUUUUAUACAUUAACUUAUAAACUGAUGGAAAGUUGGAAUUAAUUUUAGAAUAGGAAAUGAUAUCCACUGGAUUUGGCUUUCUCUGUAAUUAAUUAUGGAUAAUUUGCAAACAAAAACCCGCGGUGUUACUUUCUAGGAGAAAAUGCCUGAUUACCAAUCAGAAGAAACUGCAGUGCUACAGAGAAUGAAGUGGGAACAUAACUGAAAGAAACAUAAUGCUUGAAAGGAAAUGAAAUUUUAAAAAACAAAAAAUGCGCUCUGGUUUCGCAAGAUUGAAUAUAGUUUGCUAGCUUGCGUUUUUAAGGAAACCGUGAUACUGUUGCAUUCAACGUACAACUUAUUAUUUCAAGUUUGAUGAAUAUGAAUUUAUAAAAUAUAAAUAUUUUUUAAUAAAAAUGUCCAUUGCCAAGUUCUGAAAUAUGUAUUUAUUGCCAAAAUAUUGACUACUUCUCAUACAUGCUGGUUUUUGUAAGUAUACUAGUAUAACAUUUUUAUUACUACAUAAACCUACCUAGACAUAAUAUCACAAAAACUAGCGGUCUGAUAUCCUACAUACAACAAAAAUAAAUAAGUAAGGUAACGAUUGUAUAUCGUUUUCACUAACUGAAUUGCCACUUCUCAGCUCACUCUAAAAAGAACAACCAAAACUAAGGGGGUUUGGAUAAAGGGAUCAUUGAUACAAAACAACCGACAAAACUUCCAUGAUGCAUGAAGAACGGACGAUCACCUGUUCUGACGAUUGACAGUUGUGAAAAGUCAGUAGCCGUGGUCCGUGACCGUCACGAUCAGAAUUUUAUUUUAUACUUUGUAGUAGGUUAUGUUUUAUUUACUUAUUUAUUACGACGAUUCUCGAAAAAGAUCCUCGAACCAGUCUGAUUAACAGGAUAUUUAUGUAAAGACAGUGUAUCUUUCGGUUUGAAUCAACAAUCUCUGUGUUCUGUGGCACGUGACUGUGUGUCACAAACAGCUGUAAGAACAAAACGGUCUAUCAAAUCCAUUGGCGUGUUUAGUUUUACGAAAAUAAAAGUUGAAAUCUUUCUACGAAGCGUGUUUUAUUUUCCCUAACAACGACGGCAUAACCGGCAGGGGUUCGCUAACGCAGGCGCACACAAAAUACGGCAUCGCAUCCUUUUACGGUCGCAAACAAAGUAACACGCAGUAAACACGAUUUUUAAGCGAACCCGGUCGAGCGAUUUCAUUAUUCGAAACGCCGUGACGUUCCGCUUCCUAUUACCUCGCUGUUAUUACGUUCCACAUUAAAACAAAAAACACGCGAUGUUAUUGUACGGCUGCAAACUACAAACGUUUCAAGGUAAAAACGAAUCUCGGACCGCGGUCGACUCGAAACCGCAUUUGUCGCGGCCAAUUUGCUUUUCAUCGAAAAUUUCCCAUGACUCGCGACGUCACGCGUAGAAAUAUGGACCGGACAGCGCGCGCACGCGCAAGACAGAUGGCAUUGUUUACGACGGGGCGCAAAUCUGUCGACGGACGGUGACAAUGUUGCCAGUGCCUCGCAUCGCUGCCGUUUUAGAACGAGUAAAACAUACACACCAAGAUUUUUAGGUUUAAAAACGUGUAGAUGAAUUAGAAACUCUGCUCGAUUCGUUAGCAGAGCCAAUAAACUUACAAGUGCGUCUUUUUUAUGGUUGGUAAUUUUAUCACGUGACAACGUCGCAAUGAACAGACGCUUACUCGAUUGUGGGGCGGUGUGCCGUGUUUAUAAACUAACCAAAAUUCUUUUGGAGCAAUAAUAUUAAAAAGACUGACAGUGAAAAUGCCGGGACGAUGCGAAAUUUGCACUAAACUUGGCGGUUAGGGGUGCAGUGUGUCAUUUCGCGCGUACAUUUGUUAUAUCGUAUAAUAACUGUGCACCGUAUUACGUAUUGUUUGAGAUUUUUCAAAAGUUGGGAUUCGAUUUUCAAAUUAAUCAUAUCAAUCAAUUAAAUCUAUCAAAAUCAAGUUUUGUUGUCAUGUCACAGAAAUUAUAUAGAAUAUAUAUUAAAA